GCCAGGCAUGGUGCUGUGUGCCUGUAAUCCCAGCUACUCAGAAGGCUGAGGCUGGAGGAUCACUUGAGCCCAGGAGUUCAAGGCUGCAGUGAGCUAUGAUCAUGCCACUGCACUCCAGCCUGGGUGACAGAAUGAGACCCUGUCUCAA
RNAcentral lists this non-coding RNA (148 nucleotides) under Chlorocebus sabaeus (green monkey). The record is from Rfam by way of RNAcentral. Lineage: Eukaryota; Metazoa; Chordata; Mammalia; Primates; Cercopithecidae.